UACGUAGGGGGCAAGCGUUGUCCGGAUUUAUUGGGCGUAAAGAGCGUGUAGGCGGCCUGACAAGUCUGCUGUGAAAACUCGAGGCUCAACCUCGAGAUGUCGGCGGAAACUGUCUGGCUAGAGUCCGGAAGAGGAGAGUGGAAUUCCUGGUGUAGCGGUGAAAUGCGCAGAUAUCAGGAAGAACACCUAUGGCGAAGGCAGCUCUCUGGGCCGUAACUGACGCUGAGGAGCGAAAGCGUGGGGAGCGAACAGG
Molecule: ribosomal RNA, 253 nt
Filed under: uncultured bacterium
Lineage: Bacteria
Description: partial 16S ribosomal RNA
Rfam family: Bacterial small subunit ribosomal RNA
Source: RNAcentral